CAGUAGGGAAUCUUCCACAAUGGACGAAAGUCUGAUGGAGCAACGCCGCGUGAGUGAAGAAGGAUUUCGGUUCGUAAAACUCUGUUGCAAGGGAAGAACAAGUAGCGUAGUAACUGGCGCUACCUUGACGGUACCUUGUUAGAAAGCCACGGCUAACUACGUGCCAGCAGCCGCGGUAAUACGUAGGUGGCAAGCGUUGUCCGGAAUUAUUGGGCGUAAAGCGCGCGCAGGUGGUUCCUUAAGUCUGAUGUGAAAGCCCCCGGCUCAACCGGGGAGGGUCAUUGGAAACUGGGGAACUUGAGUGCAGAAGAGGAUAGUGGAAUUCCAAGUGUAGCGGUGAAAUGCGUAGAGAUUUGGAGGAACACCAGUGGCGAAGGCGACUGUCUGGUCUGUAACUGAC
This 400-nucleotide ribosomal RNA is filed under the name Solibacillus sp. RNAcentral describes it as "bacterial SSU rRNA". It matches the Rfam family "Bacterial small subunit ribosomal RNA", at positions 352 to 744 of the family's 1533-position model. The record is from RNAcentral. Lineage: Bacteria; Bacillati; Bacillota; Bacilli; Caryophanales; Caryophanaceae.